GGAUAACCUGCCCUAUCGUCUGGAAUAACCUCGGGAAACUGAGAAUAAGGCCGGAUAGUUCACAAAGCCUGGAACGGUUUGUGAAUCAAGGUAGGAUGGGUCUGCGGCGUAUCAGGUAGUAGGGGGUGUAAAGGACCCCCUAGCCUUCGACGCGUACGGGUGUUGGGAGACAUAGCCCGGAGAUGGAUUCUGAGACACGAAUCCAGACCCUACGGGGUGCAGCAGGCGCGAAAACUUCACACUGCAGGAAACUGUGAUGAGGGAACUCCAAGUGUGUGCACUAUGUGUACACUUUUAUGAACUUUUAAUCGGUUCAGGAAUAAGGGCUGGGAAAGACCGGUGCCAGCCGCCGCGGUAAUACCGGCAGCUCAAGUGGUCGUCGCUUUUAUUGGGCCUAAAACGUCCGUAGCCUGUUUGGUAAAUCUGUGGGUAAAUCAACUCGCUCAACGAGUUGAAUUCUGCAGAGACUGCCAGACUAGGGACCGGGAGAGGUGUGGGGUACUCGAGGGGUAGGGGUAAAAUCCUGUCACCCUUCGAGGACCACCAGUUGCGAAGGCGCCACACUGGAACGGAUCCGACGGUCAGGGACGAAGCCUAGGGGCACGAACCGGAUUAGAUACCCGGGUAGUCCUAGGUGUAAACGCUGUGAACUUGGUGUCGGGGGUCCGCAAGGGGUCCCCGGUGCCGGAGUGAAGAUGUUAAGUUCACUGCCUGGGGAGUACGGUCGCAAGGCUGAAACUU
Molecule: ribosomal RNA, 741 nt
Filed under: uncultured Candidatus Poseidoniales archaeon
Lineage: Archaea; Methanobacteriati; Thermoplasmatota; Candidatus Poseidoniia; Candidatus Poseidoniales
Description: bacterial SSU rRNA
Rfam family: Archaeal small subunit ribosomal RNA
Source: RNAcentral